GCUGGUGUGGCUCAACGGUAGAGCAGCUGACUUGUAAUCAGCCUGUAAAUCUGUUGUCAUCGACUUCGGUGGUUCGAAUCCACCAUCCUCC
RNAcentral lists this transfer RNA (91 nucleotides) under Clostridioides difficile. Its description in RNAcentral is "tRNA-Thr(tgt)". The stretch from base 8 to 84 matches the Rfam family "tRNA", at positions 8 to 63 of the family's 71-position model. Rfam says of the family: Transfer RNA (tRNA) molecules are approximately 80 nucleotides in length. The record is from RNAcentral. Lineage: Bacteria; Bacillati; Bacillota; Clostridia; Peptostreptococcales; Peptostreptococcaceae.